GGGCGGGCGGGCGGGGCGGGGCGGCCGGGCCGGCUGCGUGGCGGUUGGGAAGCAUCGGGCCGGGCGAGUUGCUCCUGUCGAGGCUGCGUCCAGCCUGGAGGAAGCAGAAACCCGCGGCUCCGCGGGCUAGACUUCCCAGAGCAUGGCCAAGCCCAACAGGUGGAAGCCACAGGGAGGCCCGUCUAUACUUGAUUGAAGGGGAGGGCCCGCUGCCGGAACGGUGGUUGGUGGACGCACGUCCCUGCGACCCGGCAGCCAUCUGCCGAAAGGCUGAGCUUUGUAGGGUUAAGAGCGUGGGUCUGGAAAUGAGCAGUCGCCCUGCUUAGGAUUGGAAGAGGUCAUUUAAUUCUCCAAGCCUGUGUUUCCUCGUAUUCAAAAUGUUGAUAAGGACAUUCUCCCCGCUGCCUCAUCGAGUGUGGCAGAAGUUCACUUUGAUAGCAGCAUGUGAAAGGAGUUGACAGCAGUGACUCCAUUUUGUACCCUGGACUCCAUCUUGUUAAAAACAGGAAACUGUGCUGACCUUGCUGACUUGCCAAAAGGGAAUUAUUUUCUGAGAAAGGACUUUCUGAAGAACCGUGCAAAAAAUAUACUUUUCUGGUAGCAACAAGAUGUCUUCGGGUAAGCCAAUGAACUGUAUGGUAAAUUGACCCUCCCUAACAAACACCUGAGGGCGUUCUCACUUUUCAGGGCAAAACUUGUCUGGCUGCUGCCAGCACCUGUGUUCCCCGAAUUGCAAUUCUGAGACCCCAAAUAAAUGCUCUUCUUUUUUCGCUUGCCUCUGUUGUAGGUUGACAAUGCUUUGCGCAGUAAUGACAAGAAGCGCUAACAAUUAUUGACUCCAUCCCAGUACUACCGAGGCACUUUCCAUGUGCAGUUUCAUUUAAUCCUCACAGCAACUCUUUGUGAUGUGGAAGCUGAGGCUCAGAGGUUGGAGAUGACUUGCUGAUGGGGAUGGAGCUAGAACUAGGUGUCCUGAACCUCAGUCGGGAGCCAGGAUGCAGUCAGCCAGCCCCCAUGGCCUCUCUGUUCCUGGGCCUUCCUGGGCCAGCAGGGCGUACCCCUUACUUGGGCUUAUCCUUGUGUUUUCAGCCAAAGAAGGCUACAGAGUCGCCCUAAAGAUUCUCCCUCCCCAGAGAGCUGUGUGCUCCUGGGGGUCAGCAGCGUCAAAGCGGAUGCCACUGGAUUAGAGUGUAAAUGGAGCGGCAGCUGAUGAGGAAACGCCUUUCAGUGACUUUGACAGUCCAGAGGCAGUGUCCUUCCCCUGCUCCUGCUGCAGCCCAGCCCCUGACUGGGUGCAGGCAGAAGGAGAAUGUGCAGUGAGCCCUCGGGUAGGACAGGCUGGCCAGAGUGAAUGUUAGUGAGCACCCUUCCAAGGAGUAAAUCAGCAGUCCUCAAAGGAGGAGAGGGGGCCCAGACUAGAUGUGCACGACCUCACCCCGUGCUUGGGGCUCCAGCUCCUGGAGGGAAGGAAUAGGUUUCUCUUACUUGUUUCUACAGUGCACUGCAAGAUGGUCAUGAGGUCUCCAGACACUGAAGUUACCUUUUAUUUCUAACAUAGAAAUCGCAUCUCUCCUUUUGAGUUGCACAGUAUUGAUCUGUAGGACUUGCCCUUCAUCUAAUAGCUUCUGGAAUUUUCAUUCUUAUAGCUGCUCACAAAGCCUUUGUAAAAAGUACUUUGCAAAUGUACUUUCCCUUUUAGCCUUUCUGGAAACACAGGGUAAAAUGAUCUGCCUUUACAUUUUCUAGCCUAGUGGCAAAGGCUCUGAACUCAGGCAGACCCAGAUUUCUUUUCUUUACUUUUCUUUCUUUUUGGCUGAGGAAAACUGGCCCUGAGCUAACAUCUGUUGCCAAUCCCUCUCUUUUUGCUUGAGGAAGC
Equus caballus (horse) is the source of this 1876-nucleotide non-coding RNA. The record is from RefSeq and is a predicted model, not a curated record. NCBI's taxonomy places the organism in Eukaryota, Metazoa, Chordata, Mammalia, Perissodactyla, Equidae.